Long non-coding RNA from Tachysurus vachellii, 4526 nucleotides. RefSeq lists it as uncharacterized. The record is from RefSeq and is a predicted model, not a curated record. Lineage: Eukaryota; Metazoa; Chordata; Actinopteri; Siluriformes; Bagridae. The transcript is spliced from 2 exons.
ACAAGAGACAGUAAAGUCCCGCCCACCCAGAGCACACUUGGAUGAUCUGUCUGGAAGCACAUGGAGAUGUAUGAUACAGCUGGUGUGGAACUGAAAGCUGCUGAAGAAGCCUCCUGGAGUUUCACUGCAGUACAAGUAGAUCAGAAUUUACAAGAAAUUCGGUUUGUGUGUGUGUGUGUGUGUGUGUGUGUGUGUGUGUGUGUGUGUGUGUGUGUUUUAUAUUUUCAUAAUUUGCAAGCUAUUUAAAUCUACAGUUUUGUUAGCUUCAUACAAUCAUUGACAGUUUAUUAUGUUAUAUAAAGUCUGAAUAAUGUUUCUGUGUAUUAGCCCCUUUAUAUUAAUGCUUGUUUUUUUGCUGUAAUGUUAUUUCACAUAUCAGCUUGUUUUUUAAUGCUAAUCCUUGUGUUAGCUUGUUUAAUGUAGAAAAAAGGAAUAUUCUACAUUACUUACAGCACCGCUAGUUAAUCAUUAUCCUGUUUAAUGCUAAAUAACAUUAACCCAUUUUCUCUUUAUUACCCAUUGAUUUCCACGGUUCCCUUGGCAUGUUGCUAACAUGUGACGGUUUUAUGGACCUAGCAGUAAAAACGUGAAAACACAGACAUAUAAUCAUAACUAUAACACACUGAGAGGGAGUUAGCAUUCAGCGUAUGCUGGCAGCUCAUUUACUUUCGGCUCAGACAGGAAAUCGGCACUGACUUGAACUUAAUGAGACACUUUUAUGGGUCUCUGGCAUUAAAAAGAAACCAGUUUGGCGUCAUUUUAGACUCAUAAGCUAAUCAGGUGCUACGGCUGAGGACAUGCUGAAGAAAAAUAAUCACUUUCCCACCUGAGAGAAAGAGACAGAAAGAGAUGGAGAAAUAAAAGACAGCCCUGUUACACAGCCUGUCAUCACAGAGACGUCCACAUUCCCAUCCGGCUGAAUCAGAGCGAGGCUUUUAUAGCGUCUCCUUUCAUUGGCUUUCACUUGUUCACUGUGACUGGAAUGUUUUACUGGGAUUUAAAACGCAGUGUGGGAUUUCACUACAAUUCUCCAAUUUAGAUAUAAAUUCAUCUAACAGAGAGACUGCUGAGGGAACAGGAUUAUGGGAUUGCCAUCUCCAAUGAUGACGGGUGACCAGCGACCUCAGGAGACGAAAGAAAGAAAGACAGAAAGCAACCGAGAAAGAAAGAAAUGAAGAAAGGAAAAAGCUAAAGAUGACAAUAUAAAUUAUAAGGUACUGAAGCUGCUCAUGAUAACAAAUUUAAGUUCAAUCUGAGCACAGUAUGAAAAAAAAAGAAAAUAAUUUCAACAGAUGCUAAUGCUAGAGGUUCAGACUGCAGAAAAUUCUGUAGAGUAAACAGAGCUGUAGCGUUUGUUCCACUGUCACAGAACCAGCACUGAGAAGAACCCAGAGUAAGAAUCCAUCAACCAGCCAUAGUUAGGAUGAAGCAGCUGAUUUGGCUUGGGUUUUAGACAUACUAGGCUUCAUAUUCUCGGGUGGUUCUGAUGUUUAGGGUUAAGUUGUUCAUUGGUUCAGACUCUCAGGGAUUCAAAUGUUCAGGGGUUCAGACUCUCAGGGAUUCAGAUGUUCAGGGGUUCAGACUCUCAGGGGUUCAGAUGUUCAGGGGUUCAGAUGUUCAGGGGUUCAGACUCUCAGGGGUUCAGAUGUUCAGAGGUUCAGACUCUCAUGGAUUCAGUUGUUCAGGGGUUCAGACUCUCAGGGUUUCAAAUGCUCAAGGAUUCAGACUCUCAGGGGUUCAGAUGUUCAGACUCUCAGAGAUUCAGAUGUUCAGGGGUUCAGACUCUCAGGGGUUCAAAUGCUCAAGGAUUCAGACUAUCAGGGGUUCAGAUUUUCGGGGUUCAGACUCUCAGGGAUUCAGAUGUUCAGGGGUUCAGACUCUCAGGGGUUCAGAUGUUCAGGGGUUCAGACUCAAAUUUUUGAGACUUUCUGAGCUUCAGACUCUCAGCUACUAAUUAAAAUUCCAGCACUUGGGCAAGUUCCCUUUUCCUCAAAAUCUCCACUAAGCUGGAAGUCUACUUGGAUAAAAUCAUUUGCCGGAUAAAUAAAUGAAAGUGGAAUGUAGUCACUGAAUGAAGACUGAUUAGGAAUUUGACUUGGAGUGAACUUACUGGAAAAUAAAAUACACUGGAGUUCGGUACAGUAGAGAAAAAUAUAAAUAGAUUUUAUGACUCUUUUUUGGACUCAGUUCUUGGAGGAGUUUCUCUCAUUUCUGGUUUUCUCUUCAGUGACAGUGACAGCAGUUUAGCAUCACAUCUCUAACUCCACUAAAAGAAUCGAGAUUUCUACACUAGUAUUUCUGAACUGGAGGAUGUAGAACGUGUGAGUUAUUAUGUGGAUUAUUAUCGUACACAUGCUAAAACAUUAGCCACUAAACACUGUUUGUUUGUUUGUUUGUUUGUUUGUGACAUUAAUGGUAAUUGUACAGGAAUAUUUUCAAGCGUUAGUAAAAGAAAAUGUUCUGGAAAAUUGUCCUGUUUAUUUAGUCCAUUGAUGUAAAUGACCAGCAAGCUGUCUAUGGCUCACUAAACUAAACUAAACUAAACUAAAAUAAAAUAAAAUAAAAUAAAAUAAAAUAAAAUAAAAUCACCUAAUAACAAAGAAACAGCUAAUAAAAGAAUAUCCACCUGAAACAAAGCCACUGUCAUCAACACUUCCUCUCAUUCUUUGGGAUUUAAGGGUCAGUCUGUAAUUUAUUCUUCAUAAAUUAUACAAAAUACUUGGCGUUUAAAAAUAAAAGACUUGUCUGUAUCCCACACCCGGCUAUUCAUCAUACAGCUUUUCCUUUUAUCAGACAAUGGGAUAGUUUUCAUUCUAUCACACAAUGGGGUAUUUAUAAACCUGCGACUGCUUCAGGAUUUCACUGAAGUGAAGAGAAUUAAACAGGAAGUGGUGAUGGCUCGCUCAAUUUCCUGUCAUGCGUCUCAGGGAAAUCUCUCUUUAAACUGUAAAUCUCUCUUAAAAUGUAAAUAUUAAGAGUGUGAUUUCUAGUAGUAACCAUAUUUUUAAUGUCAGGAAUUACAUUUUACACUAGUAAAAACGUAAUUGCUGAUAUCUGCUAUUGCAUAUUCACUAGUUGAAUAUUGCAAGAGCCAAGUCAUUUUAUAAAUAGUAUUUUAUAUUUGAAAAUGGAUAAAGAGGAAUCUGAGGGAGACAGUUUAAGUGGGGCCUAAUGAAGCUUAUAAAAUUAAUAAUAGUAGUUAUCUAAAACUUACAGGUGCUAUGCUGAAAUUUGUUAGUAGAGGAGAUGCUGUCAAGUGUGAAUGUGUGGCAAAUGGUUUACAUGGCUCACAGGUCAGGUAGGAGGGCCCCUUAGCAGAAUUUUGCUUAGGGCCCCAGGGAGGUCAGGAUCGGCUCUGAUUGUUUUAUCCUGAGGACCGAGGACUGAGGUCCCAGUAAUCUGAGAGCCACCCUCUGAGACCCUCUCCAGCCCAGACACCCUGCCCCAGAUCUCCACACCAUACUGAGGAGGCCUUCUAAUCCCCUGACUCUGAGCUUCAUCAUCUCCAGCUACAUCUCAUGCACUAUGAAGUUUUCUACCUGCCCCAGUCACCUCAGCCACAGUGAGUUCUGGCUCUGUCUCUUAAACAGAUAUCAUAUUCAUAGGAUUAAAGAGGAUCUCAGAGUCAUCUGUUCAAGUGGUUCACCGUAUCCCCAGUAGAACACAUUCUCAUCUACCUCUCUUCAUCAAGCCAAAAACUCUCUCCAAGGCCUCCCAGACCUGAGCUAUCACUUCUAGCUCUCAGAUCCAGUCCCUGCAGGAUUUGUCUGAGUUUGUUGCCAAAUGUUUGAUUUUUCUGCAGCUUUUUUUUUCUUUAAUUUGUGAUGUAAAUUGUGGAGUGUUUGUGGCUUUUUGGUGUAAUCACAAGCACAGGAUUCUUCAUUCAAACUCCUAGCCAUUACGACACAACCGUAAUGACUUUCUGUAAGAGCUGUUCUCAGGUUCAACACAUACACAGAACACAGUUUUGGCUGAACAUGUGUUGUGUAUCAGCCCAAAUCUGCAGAAUCACUGUGUUAUUUUGAAAAGUUUUGUAGGUCCCUGGAUAUCACAGUGUUCCCUUCAUUCAUUCAUUUCUGUAAUUGCAAAACUGGAGGAACUGAUUAAACGUCUCAGCUGACCUGGUGGAGCUCUUUGGGACCCUGGAAGUCCUCCUUCUCGCCACAGCCACAGGAGGACUUCAAUUCGAUUCUUCUGCCAGAAAACCUGGAAGAUAAACACUUCAGUCAGUGAGCGGCAACACUCGCUUAUCAUCAUCUCCAUCACAGUGAGAGCACAUCAUCAUCAUCAUCAUCUGUUUCCUUCUAUACAACGCAGACCUGUCAGGAAACCUCACGUGCCAGAAUGAAGUCAUCUUUAUAUUCAACUGAAGAACCUGAGAACAAUGAGAAGAUUUAUUCCAGAAAAGUCUCCACAUUAACCUGGAGCAUUAAAUACAACCAAACAAAAUUAAGUUUAUUCAUUAAUGAUGAAAAACAUUAUACUUAAUUACUUAAAUUAUUAAACAGUCUGAUUAUUAAAGUACA